UCCCUAACCCUUGCUCCUCCUCCCCAACCCAAAUCCAACAAAUCCCUAACCGAAAGGCCGUCCACCCGCCGCUCUACCUUCCAGCCUUCUCUCUCUCGCUGGGAGCCAUGGCGACAUUCUCGUGGGUGUCCUUUCAGUUCCGCACCGGCUGAUGAAACUCCUUUAUAAGAGCCCGGAGGUUGAGGUUGUGGCGAUGGAUUGGAUUUUGAGGCACCAUGGUGUUGGGCUUGGAUCCAUUCUAUUGCUUCUCUUCUCUAAAUGCUCUUCGUGGAACAGCUGGAGAUUUAAUGUAUUUUCUUCUCCAAGAACUGGUGCAAAUAAUGUUGGCUCUAAAUAUCAGGAUUACUUGAACUUAUUUGAGGUUCCUUUCACUCUGGAGGGUUCUAGUCGUUCUUUUUGUGGUUUCUAGUUUGAACAUCAAGAUUAUGGGGGCCAACUGUUGUGUGGCUGCUCCAAGGAAGAAACCUUUGUUUUCCUAUUACAAGAUGAGCGGCAGUCUAGUAGCUCAGCAAGCUGUCCACAGAAAAUGCUACAAUAUUCACAGAAAUUAGAGGCACAAUAUGAAAUUGCAUUACAAGCAUCUUAAGAACGUCUUACAUGUGGACCCUUAUAGUCAUCCAUACGAACAUGUGACUCAAGAGGAUUGACGCCACUUAAUUGACGAUGUGUGGAAAAGCAAAGAACACAAGGUGAGAUCAAAAGCUGGCAAAAAGAAUAGGAAAAAGCUUGAGUACAAUCAUUGUUCAGGAUCUCGGUCAUUUGUUGCAACAAUGACUAUACCAGUAAUAUGUUUUUGACCGGAGUUUAAUGGUUGUGAAAACCUUGAAUUUCCAGAAUUCUAUAAGAAAACUCAUACCAAGAAGAGCAAAGAGUGGAUUGAUCCUAUUUGCGUCGUGAAACAUUCAAAGAUGUUGAGUUUGCGCGAAGAAUCUUUCCAAUCCGGUGUGCAAUUAACAUUAGAGGAGAUGUCUAGGCAGGCACUUGGAAAAAAGAAGAGAUACAUUCUUGGAUUUGGGGUUGGGCCGAAGCGCUCUUCAUCUUCUUCCACACCUAGUCGUGUGUCACAAGACCAUGUUGGGGAGUUGCAGAAACUUAAAGCUGAGAUGGAGGAGAUGAAGAUGGAGCGUGAGGAGCUGCGGAGACAAUUGGAGCAGGAGAGGAGAGAGCGUAAGGAGGAAAGAAAAGAGCGAGAGGAAGAACAGAAGCAAAUUGCAUAUCUUACAAGUUUGGUGACAGAGUUCUUAAAGAAAAAGACUCAAAUGCACAAGUCAUCUAUCCAUCAUGAUGGGGCCAUGUAUUCAACUGGUAGUACAAAUACUUGUUGAUACAUGGUGGAGUUAUGAGCAUGUGAAAUCUAGUUUUUGGUACAUGGAUAGCUUUUGUUCAGAUGAUCAUGGUGGAGUUGUCUACAAGCAGAAUCCAGUUUUUGAUAUAAGAAUAUUUUUGUCUACAUGAUGGUUGUUUGGAUGAAUAGCAAGAUCAGAUAUUUUGAGAUUUUUAAUUUAUAUUUUGAUGUGUUUGGUGAUGAUUAUCACCUUAACAUAUGGUAUGGAUGAAACAUUGUGAUGUAUGGUUAAUAGGUAUGCUUGACUUUAGACUUAUAGAUAAUGAUAUUUAUAAUGAAUGAUUAUGGAUUCUCCAA
Non-coding RNA from Phoenix dactylifera (date palm), 1642 nucleotides. The record is from RefSeq and is a predicted model, not a curated record. Lineage: Eukaryota; Viridiplantae; Streptophyta; Magnoliopsida; Arecales; Arecaceae.